GUGCCUAAUACAUGCAAGUCGAGCGGACAGAUGGGAGCUUGCUCCCUGAUGUUAGCGGCGGACGGGUGAGUAACACGUGGGUAACCUGCCUGUAAGACUGGGAUAACUCCGGGAAACCGGGGCUAAUACCGGAUGGUUGUUUGAACCGCAUGGUUCAGACAUAAAAGGUGGCUUCGGCUACCACUUACAGAUGGACCCGCGGCGCAUUAGCUAGUUGGUGAGGUAACGGCUCACCAAGGCAACGAUGCGUAGCCGACCUGAGAGGGUGAUCGGCCACACUGGGACUGAGACACGGCCCAGACUCCUACGGGAGGCAGCAGUAGGGAAUCUUCCGCAAUGGACGAAAGUCUGACGGAGCAACGCCGCGUGAGUGAUGAAGGUUUUCGGAUCGUAAAGCUCUGUUGUUAGGGAAGAACAAGUGCCGUUCAAAUAGGGCGGCACCUUGACGGUACCUAACCAGAAAGCCACGGCUAACUACGUGCCAGCAGCCGCGGUAAUACGUAGGUGGCAAGCGUUGUCCGGAAUUAUUGGGCGUAAAGGGCUCGCAGGCGGUUUCUUAAGUCUGAUGUGAAAGCCCCCGGCUCAACCGGGGAGGGUCAUUGGAAACUGGGGAACUUGAGUGCAGAAGAGGAGAGUGGAAUUCCACGUGUAGCGGUGAAAUGCGUAGAGAUGUGGAGGAACACCAGUGGCGAAGGCGACUCUCUGGUCUGUAACUGACGCUGAGGAGCGAAAGCGUGGGGAGCGAACAGGAUUAGAUACCCUGGUAGUCCACGCCGUAAACGAUGAGUGCUAAGUGUUAGGGGGUUUCCGCCCCUUAGUGCUGCAGCUAACGCAUUAAGCACUCCGCCUGGGGAGUACGGUCGCAAGACUGAAACUCAAAGGAAUUGACGGGGGCCCGCACAAGCGGUGGAGCAUGUGGUUUAAUUCGAAGCAACGCGAAGAACCUUACCAGGUCUUGACAUCCUCUGACAAUCCUAGAGAUAGGACGUCCCCUUCGGGGGCAGAGUGACAGGUGGUGCAUGGUUGUCGUCAGCUCGUGUCGUGAGAUGUUGGGUUAAGUCCCGCAACGAGCGCAACCCUUGAUCUUAGUUGCCAGCAUUCAGUUGGGCACUCUAAGGUGACUGCCGGUGACAAACCGGAGGAAGGUGGGGAUGACGUCAAAUCAUCAUGCCCCUUAUGACCUGGGCUACACACGUGCUACAAUGGACAGAACAAAGGGCAGCGAAACCGCGAGG
This 1235-nucleotide ribosomal RNA is filed under the name Bacillus amyloliquefaciens. Its description in RNAcentral is "bacterial SSU rRNA". It matches the Rfam family "Bacterial small subunit ribosomal RNA", at positions 44 to 1262 of the family's 1533-position model. The record is from RNAcentral. Lineage: Bacteria; Bacillati; Bacillota; Bacilli; Caryophanales; Bacillaceae.